UACGAAGGGAACUAGCGUUGUUCGGAAUCACUGGGCGUAAAGCGGGCGCAGGCGGACUAUCAAGUCAGAGGUGAAAUCCCAAGGCUUAACCUUGGAAUUGCCUUUGAAACUGAUAGUCUGGAGUGUGUGAGGGGGUAGCGGAAUUCCGAAUGUAGAGGUGAAAUUCGUAGAUAUUCGGAGGAACACCGGUGGCGAAGGCGGCUACCUGGCACACAACUGACGCUGAGGCCCGAAAGCGUGGGGAUCAAACAGG
Molecule: ribosomal RNA, 253 nt
Filed under: uncultured bacterium
Lineage: Bacteria
Description: partial 16S ribosomal RNA
Rfam family: Bacterial small subunit ribosomal RNA
Source: RNAcentral